CGAGCUCUCUCUUCAUCCUCAUGUUGAUAAGAGCGUAGCAUUUCAUCACUAGCCAUUUCUUUUGCAGUCAUGCCAACAACGGUCUCCGGCUUGACCUGCCCAAAAAGGACUUUUCUUCGGGAAUCUGGGUUCUUAGGAUCCUUGAGGUUACCCAAGACAGCUCUAUACUUGAUCUUAUAAGGCCCAUCAGAUCGGUCCCAUUUCCCAAACAUUGCAGACUCCAAUGCUAUUCCAACUCGAACUGAGUCACAUGCAUUCACUUCAUCUCGAAUUUCUUCGUCAGCCUCACCAGAAACCUUGGAUAAAGCAUCAAAAACUUUUUCCCUCACAACCUCCCGAAAACAAUCAUUGCAUCUAAUCUUAGAACUGCUCAACUUAUGGAGAAUGAUGCCAGAAGCUUCUCCCUCUUCUGUAAUCGAAUUUCCAACAUUGACAUUAUCCGCCGAAUUGGUUUCCUCUGUUUCAACAUUUUCUGAUCUUACUACAUUCGAGGAGCUGGAUGUAGAAUUCUGAUCGACUUUCUGAACCUUGACAAUUCCAACACCAGAGAUCUCCUGACACUCCUCAGAGGUCCUCUUAUCAACCUUCUCUAUUUUUGCAGGCUCAGUGUCGCCAGGGAUUGUACAGCUUCCUUUUUUCUCAUCUCUUAUUUGCUCAAGAAACAUAUCUCUCCACGACACAAUCAAGUCAGACGCAAAAUCCUGGAUUUUCUUCCUUGGAUGUUCUGUCAGAGGUAGAAGAUACCUUACAAGCUGAAAUGAUAUAUAUACCAAUAAAUCAAUUCCAGGAAGUACCAAAGUAAUUAAAUGCAUUCAGUCUAUGCAAAUUGAUAAUUUUUGUGAGGCUGCACAAAAUAAAACACCAAGGUACAAAACAUGAUUUCCUUCCACAGGCAUUUAGCAUAUUGACCAUACUGCUUUUUCUUAAUGUGAAGCAGAAAAUGAGUCAUGAAAAGACGAAAAAACAAAUUGUUGGAUGAGAAGUAUUUGAUCUUUUUGCGACUUUCUGUACGAAUGAUACUGACCUAGAUUCUGCAAUAGCGCAGACAUCUCAUAGGUUUGGGGCAUUACAAAAGGGAAUAAUCUAUACUCAUUUAUUAUGGAAUUUAAAUGUAACUUAUGAUGUAUAUAUCCUAGUAAUGUCCAACAAAACAAUCUGCUCAUGUUAGAUAGUUCAUUGACAAUGCUAUCAGAUGAUAGAGGAAAUUCUUCUUGAGUGAAGAAAAUGAUCACAAAGUAAAAGAUGCAAGUCAUAAAUGAAACGAAAUGAGUAGGUACCGUCGAACUCCUUUUUCCCAAUUAUUAACAAAAGAUACUUCAACAACAAAACUGUAAAACUUGUGAAGAAAUCAUAAGCACAUUCAAAACGAUCAAUGCUGAAUACAGAUAACAAGCUCAGUACAUAAACAUAUAUAGAGAGUGAGGAAUAACACCUGCGUUGAAACAAGAAGCGGACAGGUGAUAUCAGACUUGUUGAGCUGAUCCAAUGCAUCAAUGCACCAUGCGGUCCAUGCUUUCUCCGCCUCACCCUCAGCCAUUACUGCCGCUUCUGCCCCUCUUUUUGCCUCUUCACACAGCUGCAUCACCUUUUUCUCCAUUGCUUUUUCCUCCACCUCUUCUUUCUUAAGCAGUUGAAAGGACAACAAAAUUAUAACAAGCGAAAAUAUUAAUGAAUUAUUUCUUGCCAAGAAGUAAACAUGAACUUAACCCAUAAUUAUUUUGAUGAACGAUAUUCAUAAACUUGUUAUUUCACAUUUGCAUAUAUGAAUCGACAGCCACAAUGCAAAGACAUAGUUUUUUUCCUUAUUCAUUUACCUUAAAAUCUGUAGCCUUCACCACUGAAAUAAGGAAUAGAACCACGUUAUAAAGGUUAAAUACAUUUUGUAGUAUUCGAUUAUUUUACUGACUCUAUCAUGUAAUUUUCACCCAUUGCGGCAAUUCAAGUCCAGAAGUUUAUAUAAAGUGAAACACCCAUCCCGAAUAAAUAAAUAGAAAAAAUUAACCUAAAAAUUGAAAAAGAAAAAGAAAAGGGUAAUUGAAUGCACUCACAAUUUCCAUUGAGCGGCGCCGGCGAGUGACUGCUUCUGACAGCUUUGUCGAGCCGUGGUAGUCCAGAAGUUUAUAUACAGUGAAAUACCCAAGCAAAAGGAUUUCUUUGUGUUAACGUGCUAUUUUGAAUUAUUUAAUGAGAAGGUAGAUUGGUCUUUUUGUAUCAAAGGUCUUUUUGGUCCAAUUCACAAUAGUUCACUCCGUAUCCGUAUGUAUGGGCCAUGGGGGGGACAGUAUUGUGUCAUUUGCCAUGUGAGGUUUCUUUUAUCCAGAGGUCAUGUGAAGUUAAAACACGCAAUUACCAUGAACCACUAAGGGUUUGUUUAGUAAUAUUAUAUUUUAAAAAUAAUUAAUUAUUAUUAAUUGUACUGCAAAGAUAAUAACUAUAAAGAGAAUUCAUUAAACCUAAACAGCAAUUCAGAUUUUCUCUCUCAAUUCCAGGAAAAAAUAUUUAAGGUAAAAUCUGUUUGAAAUCAAAAUUUUUAAAUCAGAAUCCUCCACACAUACUUUAUUACUUUCUUCUGGCCUAGACCUGUCACCAUCGGGAGUACCUGUUUGUUAGUUGGGGUCCAGGAUUAACCAAAGUCAUUGUCUUAUAACUUAUGUAAUGAAACUUUAGGUAUCCUCCUGAUCCCUGAACCCGAACUAAAAGGAAUUCUGAAGACAUUCUCUCGGUGCCUUCAAAGCCAACUAUAGAGAUCAGAUCAGAUCAGUCACCUUAUCAGGUCUUUAUUUUUUUCAUGCUUUCUUAUAUCAUUAGCUGAGUUUGUAUGGUGAUAUAUAUUGAAGCAAGCGUGGUCUGUAUUAAAAGUACUGAUUUUUAUUUGAUUUCUUCCCUUUUCUUCUCAAAUGCGACUUAUGGGUUUGUAGUUUUUUGUCAAUUAAUUAUAUUAAUCAGAUUUUGUAGUUUUUUGUCAAUUAAUUAAAUUAAUCAGAUAAUUACAUUUAGCUGUACAUCCUGGAACAUUAAUUGUAUCUAAAUCCUUGUUCAUCGAUCUGGGUAAUUUUCUAAAAGACAGUUUUAUUUUUCUUAAAUAAAUUUACAAUAUCACCACGUUCUGGUUUCCCGUAGGAGGCAGAUGGAGUCUCUCCCUCAGAGCAUAGGUUACAUUCCUAUAUUUAUUUAUAUUAUGCUGGUAUUGAUUUUAUGUCUUCAUUUACUAAAUUAAUUUGCUUAUCUAACUUGCCUGUUUGGAUCAACUCUCUCAGGUAGCACCUGCAUUUACAAAAAAAGCGAAAGAAAAAGAAAGAUGAGAUCCGAGGGUGAUCACAUCAACGAACUCCCGGAUGAUAUUCUUGUAAAUAUUUUGUCUCGUUUGACCAUGAAAGAAGCUGUAAGGACCAGCAUAAUAUCAAGUAGAUGGAGAUAUUUGUGGAGAGGUUUCAGUGGCUGUUUGAACUUUGACGAUCCCUUCACCAUGGCAAACUCAAAGUGGCCUCAUUUGAAUUUGAAAAGUGGGCCAAUAAAUGUAGAAAGGCAUAAGUUUGUCAAUUGGGUCAAUCAAGUGUUGAGUUCACUUGAAGGUCAUUGUACCGAAGGAUUAAGGAUUUGCUUUGAUGUGUUCUCUAACCACGAUAUCGAUAACUGGAUCAAAUUUGCAUUGGAAAGGAGAGUUAGAAGGCUUGAGUUGGAUUUCUCAAGAGUUGUGUAUAAUCUUCGGUUUGUUGGCCAAUACACAUUUCCAUCACAUCUUGAUUUUUAUUCCAGCUUUAGGCAUCUUACAGACCUAAGUUUGACAACGGUGGGCAUAACAGGAGAGGUUCUUGAACAUUUGUUAUGUUAUUGCUGUCCUGUUCUUGAAGUGCUAAAUGUUGCAGAGUCAAGCAGUCUUACGAGCCUUAAAGUGUCUGGUCCAUCACUUAAGUUGAAACACUUGAAAUUAAACAAGUUGGACAACUUGAAGGACCUUCAACUUCAUGCCCCGAAUCUCUUAUCUUUUGAAUAUUCAGGGCCAAUACUACCUUUUUCUUUCGGAAAUGUCCCGAAUCUUGUUGACGCAUCCUUUUGGGGCUGCUUUAGUGCAUACAUCGCGAAGAACCUAUGCCGGCAUUCUAUUUUUCUUGUGCAGCUACACACUCUUAAAUUGGACACGUGUCAUCUGUUGGUAAUUAGUUUUUUUUUUCAUUUUUAUUGAUUCCUUAUUGCCGCUGCUUUUGUUAAUUUUGUCUUCAAUAUUUUGUUGAUAUUGAUGCAUAAUAAAUUUGCUUCUUACUUUAUUCAGAUCGGUGACAGUGAAUAUAGAGCAGGCCGCUACCUCCACGAUAUUCCUGAAAUGUGCAAUCUCAAGCAUUUGGAAAUUAUUGGAACGCCAAAGGUUAAUGACCUCCUUUUUUGUAUUGCUUUAUUGGAAGCAGCUCCUUCAUUGUAUAAAUUUUCUCUGAAGGUGAAUGUUAUUUAAUUUAUUAAUUUAUUAAUAGGUGGAAAUUAAUGCCAUUUACUAAUUUAUGAUAUAUAUGGUUGUGUUUUUCAGUUAGUAUCACAAUAUGACUAUGAGAGCUAUGAAUCGGUCAAGACCAUCAAGGAUCAGCCGUAUUUAAGCUUCACAGAACUAAGAAGUAUUAGGGUGGUGGAGUUGCUGGGAUUUGUAGGACAUACAGCUGAUUUUGAGCUCCUAAUGUACUUAAUUUUCAGUGCGAAGCUGUUGGAGAAGAUUAUUAUCGACCCUUGUCCAACAUGGAGAGUGGGAACUCCAGCGGAAUUGAUCUGGAGGGAAACGGCGGAGUAUCAAUCCGCUAGAAGGCGUGCUUUUGAGUUGGCAGCUAAAUUUCCUUUAUGGGAAUUUGUGAUACCGUAAAUUAUUAUUUGUCUUCUUAUCUAAUUUGCUUUUUGGGUGGUUGGUGUUGUUGAAGAUAAGGAUUCUUUGCUCAUUUGAGAUUUUGUCGAGCACUAAAUUGAUGGUUAGAAUUUUGUUGAACACUAAAUUAAUAAUUAGAUUUACUUUACUUUACUUAAGUAAUUUGACGGGGAAAUUUUUUUAAAUUCUUUUAAUGGUUUUUCCUUGGAAUUAAGAUUUUGCAGCUUCUCUUUUUUGUGAGAGAGAGACACUUUUCUGGCAAGCAGGUAGAAAGUGGAGUGUGGAGUUUGUGAAAGAGGGUAUUGGUGAAAAGCAUCGCCUCGCGUUAUAGUAGUAAGUUGUCUGAUUAAUUGCGAAACUUGAAUGAGUUUGUGGGCUGUUAGAUCUUUUCAAACGACUUGACGAGCAUCAAAUUUCUUAAAGAGCACUGACAAACGAAUCAAAAUCAAAGACACAAUUUUUUUGUUUUUUAGCAAAUUUUGAAUUUUUUUUAAAAGACAAAUAAUCAAAGAAAAUUAUAUAAAUUUCAAAACGGCAAAAAUUCUGUCGUAUUUGAUUAUUUUUCCUUUCUUAAAGAAAUCUUGUACUUUGUUAUUGAGUCUUUCGUCAAUCUUCAUUUUAAUUUAAAAAAAUACCGUUUUAACCUUUAAGUUCGAAAAUAAAAUUACCGUUUUAGCUGGCUGGCAAGCAAGUGGCAGUACGCCUUCAGUGAGCUGGGCUGUUUAAUUUCGGACGUGGGCCUCUUUUAAACAGUUGCUGUUGGGGACCCUUGGAGAGCCCUCAAGUCAAGUCUCCAAACCCAGCCGUAGAACUCGAUUGAAUUUGUCUUGCAUACGCCCAACGCCGAUCAAAAGUGUUGGUUUGAAUUUUGAUUGUCCUUUAAAUAAAAGAAAUCAAAGGAUGCCCGAUGCCCCUCGCUAAAUUCUAUGUUUUUGUCUUUUUUUUUUGGGGGGGGAGCUCAUUGUGGUUGCUAGCAUUUACUAAUUAUUUCAAAUACUCUUAACUCUAUUACCGCAAAGCCAAAUUCAACUCUUUUGAGUUUUUUUUUUUAAUUUUAAUAAAAAAAUGGUGCAACUCUUCUAACCCUUUUCGAUCAAAAGGGUUCUGGUUGUUAUGGUUGUUGGCUUGUUGCUGGUGAAAUAUGAGUUCAUAGAAGAAGGAAAUGAAGCAUGUAUCUUUAAAAAUAGUUUAUUUUGAUAAUGAAACUUAGCCCACAAUUUAGCUUCUGUUUUCUUGGAUUGAUGAAACCCCUUAGUGAAAAUAUACAAAAUCUAAAUAAAACAAAAAUAUAGAAAGGCAGAAAGGUGAGAGUGAGAACUAAAGAGAGUUGACAGAUAUGCAAAUAAAAGAGUUGACGUUAUUUCAACCUACUGAAAUACUUGUUAAACCGGUUUUUUGAUAAUUUUUUUUUACUAAAAUGCUCACAACUUAAAAUUAUUGUUGUAGACAACAUAACUAAACUUUUAUUUAAAGAAAAUCUUGAAUUCGUCUUCCUCAUCUACAUUCACGAUGACAAUUUCAAGUUUUUUCUGCCUCUGAAAGAUAUGAUAGCACCAAUUAAAAAGCUUUAAUAUGACCCCAAAAAAAAGAAAAAAGAAAAAACUAAAUGUUGCAGAAGUUGCAUAUUGGUCUUCAAACUUAAUGUAGUGAACAAUAGUGGUUGAGUGCGCAAAAAUUAAGAAGUAAAUAACAAAUCUUACCGUGUAAAUAUCUCUCAGUUGCCGAUGCAAAACAAAGUUCUAAUCGUAUCAAUUACUUCAGAGAUUCUGAGAAAGGAGUAAAAUUAAAUGUAUACCAUCCUUGUCGAGCCCCACCCAAAACAUUAUACGCUUCAUGGGGGUGGGUGGUGGGGAACGUUUGUAGUAAAGUGUGUAGGAGAGUGGUUGAGCCAUUUGUGGGCAGAUCCUUUGUUUCUUGUUUUGAUUCUGAUACAUCUGAAUGCCGAGAGAGGUUACAUUAAAUAAUAAUAAUAACAAUAAUUGAAAGGCAUCAAAGAAAACUUAUAUAUAUAUAUAUAGAAAUCGAGAAAUAUUACAAAAAAAAAAAAAACCUUAAAUAGGAAUUAAGACAACAUGUUCUCCCCCGACGAGAAACAAAUUAAUAUUUCCUGCCUUCCAUAGGUAAAGGAAAGGAUGUCCUUAAGGAGGAUUAAUUCAGAUUUUGUAUUAUUUAUCCGUAAAUAGCAAAACACUUUCUACAUCCAAGUUCGUGCUCAACGUGUGGCCCUGCCUUAUCGUGAGAUGAUAAACGCCAUGACAUUGAUACAUGGACUGAUGAGUACUACCGUUGAGGGGAAAGACACAGUUCAAUUUGUUGUGCUUGUUAUACUAAUGCUAAGUGAUUUCGUUCCAAUUGAUAUCACUUAUUGGAUGUGAGGAGGUUGAAUAAAUAAUUUCACAAAUUAUGAAAUUUUACCAUCUAAUAGCUAUUAAUGAUAUAUCAUUUAGGAUAUCGGUAGGAAAGUGAAUAAUUAUUAAUUCAAAAUAUUUAUAUGUUGCACGUUUGUCACCAUACCAAUAUACAGGGGCGGAGACAGCAUGUUGAUUGACUGGGGGCUUACCCAACGACGAUAAAAAAAUUUAAAGAGUAAUAAAUAUAUAAAUUUGAAAGAUUUAUCAUACUUUAAUAUAUGUUUACAAUUGUCCUUUACGAGUUUUCAUACAUUGAUAACGUUGCAUUACAACUUCAUUAUCAAUAUUAUUAAAUAAGUCUUUUUCUAUGUAAACAACUAAACUAUCAUUCAUCCAUUGCUCUCCCAUUCGGUUUCGUAACCGAUUCUUCAAAAUGUUCAUGGCUGAAAAUGCUCUCUCUACACUCGCAGUGGCAACAGGUAAAGUCAAUGCCAAUGUUAUUAACAAGUAAACUAAUGGAUAUACAUUAUGUCUCUUAGUCUCGACCAUCCGCUUUGUAAGAUCACCAAUAUCCUUUAAUUCUGAAAACUCACCACUAGUGCGCAUAUCCAAAAUAUAUGUAUCAAGUUGAAUCUCAAGUGCCAUGAUAUCAAUUGUAGAGAACUCAUUUGGAUACAACUGGGCUAGCCGUAAUAGCUUCUGCUUGUUGAAAGUUGAAAAUAAAUCAUUUGGAGAUAAACAUGCUAAGCAAAGAAGCAACUCAGUGUUUGUCUCAUUAAAACGAGAAUUAAGCUCUUGAAGUUGCAUAUCUAAGACUGCAUAAUACAAUUCAACACGAUAACGAUGCAAAUUUGUGAUCUCUUGAGCUUUACGUCGUGAUCGCCCUCUAUCCACAAACAUAUCAUCCAUAUUAGGCACGUCAAUAUCAUGCUUCGCACAAAAAAAAAGUAACUUCAUCAAUCAAAGAAUUCCAUCCACUUUGUCUCAUUGUUUGAAGUUGUAGUUUACAUAACCUAACCAAGUUCAUAGCAUUCACAAUAUCUUGAUCUUUCCUCUGUAAUGUUUGUGAUAACUCAUCUGUAGCCCCUAAAAUAUUCCUCAUCAAAUGUAAACAGAACACAAAAUUAAAUGACAACAUCAACUCUAGUAAAUUCUUUGCUUCUCCUCUUUGCACAGAUUUUGGUCCAUCAUCAAUAAUCAUUUCCAAUACACUAAUUACUGCUGAAAACAUGUUAAUAAUGCUCAAUAAUGUAUUAUAAUGUGAACCCCAACGUGUAUCACCACAACGUUUUAGAGUAGUCUCUUGGUUUAGGCCUUGCCCACUCGAGAGAUCUCCAAGAUUAAGUGCUUUAACAACUUCCUCAGCAUGUUUCUCUCUAAGAGCAUCACAACGUUUAGACGAGGCUCCAACAACAUUCACCACAUUGGCAAUUAUAGCAAAAAAAGAUUCAAUUUGAAUAUGAUUUUUUGCAACAACAAUAAGAGCUAACUGAAGUUGAUGAGCAAAACAAUGAAUGUAAUAAGCACACUCAUUCUAUCUCAAAAUUAUGGUUUUAAGGCCAUUAAAUUCUCCUUGCAUAUUACUUGCUCCAUCAUAACCUUGCCCUCGCACCCUAGACAUACUCAACCCAUGUCUAGAAAAAAGUCUAUCAAUAGCUUCCUUAAGUGAUUGAGCAGUAGUACUACCAACUUGUUCAAUGCCUAUAAAACGUUCAACCACUUGUCCACUAAUGUUUACAUAUCGUAAGACAAUAGCCAUUUGCUCUUUUAUUGAUACGUCGCGAGAUUCAUCAACCAAAAUAGAAAAAAAUGCAUCACCCAUCUCUCUUAUAAUGGCAUUAGUGGUCUCAAUUGCACAAGCACUAACAAUGUCUUUUUGAGUGUCAGGACAUGUCACUUUCAAAAAUGAUGGGGCAUUUUCUAAUGUAACAGCUUUUAUAUCCUCAUUAUGAUCAGCCAAAAAUUUGAGAAGUUCUAGAAAGUUACCUCGGUUACUUGACUCUUCAGAUUCGUCAUGGCCGCGAAAUGCAAGUCCUUGUCGUAAAAGAAAUCUGACACAAUCAAUUGAUGCUUGUAAGCGAGCUCGAUAUUCACUUCUAGUUUGAUUAGAAUGUCUAGAAUACAUUGUUUGAAUAUGUUGCUCUUGCUUCAUUAAAUCUUGACAAGAACACCAAGCAUCAUUGUGGACACUAUUAGAGCAACCAACAUGAACUCUCAAUCUUUCUGGUUUUUUCCAAUUUGUAAACCCAUGUUUAGUAAAAGAUUCACCACCGGCUUGUUCUCCAAUUUAUGGCUUGAAAAGAUAACAACAAAGACAAAAUGCAGCAUCCUUUGCAAUGCUAUACUCUAACCAAUUUCCAUAUUUAUCAAACCAACUUGAAUUGAAUCUCCGAGAUUGUUUUCCAAAAUGCCUAAGAGGAAAAUUGUGAGUUUUUGGUUGACAAGGGCCAUUUUGCAAAUAUUGUCUUCGAACUUGAUCUUGAAUAUUUACAUUGUAGUAAGAAAUUGGAUGUCGUAAUCCAGGAUCCAUAGGAAGAUUCAAUAAAUUCACCUCCACAUCAUUUUCUCUCAUAGUUCCAACAUCAUCAUUCUUUUGUUUUUUACCACAAUCAUCAUCUCUCUUUGAACCACUCUUGUCUUUUUGUUUUGAAGCAUCAUCAUUUUUUUCUAAAAAUUGUGGCUCCUUUCUUUUGUAAAACCUUUCCAUACCUAUUUCAAAAUAUAAAUAAAGAUUAUGAAUAUUGAGUAGUUUACUUAGGCUAGUAGCACUUUUAGCAUAUUCCCCUAUUAUAUAAUUAUAUUAAUGCUAUAAAUUAAUUAACAAACAUUACAAGACAUUAAAGCUAAACAAGCAAAUGCUUAAUUGCAAUUGUUAUUUUCUUAAUUAAUAAUAUGUGUUCUUUUUUAUGGAAUCUACACUCAAUCACAUAAUUCACAUUAUAUUUUUCAAAUACAUCAAUAGCCCGAUGAUACACUAACUAAUGGGGAAGAAAAACAACUACAUCAAUUCAACAAAUAAUUAUAUAUGAUUUAUAAACAAUAAAAUAAAAAGUAAAUAAAAUAUUAAUUUGUACCUUAAUUUUAUUGAAUGAAGAAACGAGGGGUUGUUUGAAAUUUGGAGGAGAAAUCACUUUCCACUUUGCUUUUGGAGAUGCCGAAACAAGAAGAAGAUGAUUUACGCAAAUUCCAAUGUCUGUCACUGUUGUUUUGCUUUUGGAGAUGCCGAAACAAGAAGAUGAUUUAGGGAUUUCAGAUUUGUGUAUUGGUGCAGGCAGUGGAAUUGGAGAAAGGUAAAGAAUAAUAAAAUAUUAUUAAUGGGUUUGUGGGUUAUUUAAAAAUUUGAUUAAUAUUAAUAUUUGUGGGCUUAAUUUUAGUUUGUAAAGUCCAUAUCUUUUUAUUUGUUUUAAAAACUUAAAGUAUGUAAUUAUGUUUAUGUGUUAGGGGUUUAAAUAUAAAUUAGUGGGGGCUUAGGAAAAAAUUUAUUAGAAAUUUUUGAUAAAUUAAAUUAGUUAAUAAAGGAUUUUUUUUUUCAGUGGGGACUUAAGUCCCCACUGGUCCCAAGCUGGAUCCGCCACUGCCAAUAUACACACUCUUAUAUAUACAAACUGAUAUAAUAGAUUAUAUAGUUUCGACAUGUCUCAUUUGAUUUAUAUUCUUUAUUUUCUUAAAAUUGUGAGGCAUAUACAUUAAUGAAAAUACUGCUAAUUUGGAUUUCAAUUCUUGUAGUUUAAGAAAUUAAGUUAUUUUAAUUUUUAUUUCCCAUUCAGAUUCCAACUCCAUUCCGAUGCCUACUACGUAAAAUGCACUAUUAGAGGAUUAACAGUUUGAAAUGAAUAUGAUAAGAAGGGGGGAGGGGGGGAACUAUUAUUAGAAGAGUCGCAACUAACUCGUAAACCCCUAAAUUAAUCGCAAAGACUAUUUCUGUUACUUUUAGUGUUGUAGUCUUAUCAAAGUAGAGAAAUUAAAUUAUGAAUGUAUGAAUAUAUAUAGCAUUGCUUUUUGUGACUCACAAAUGACGUUAUGUUGAUCAUAAGUACAUCUUAUGAUAUAAGUGAUGAAACAAAAAACAAACUUUAUGUCCUUAAUCGUGCAUUUCUAAAUAAACACAUAUUUUAGGUAAUUUCGAAAUUUACCAUGAUCUCCCAUGAAUCCGACCUUAGAAGCUUGUUAUGGAGCUUUACCGAGUUGCUACAAGCCUGAUCUAACUUCAGAAUUCCGUUUCCUUUGCUUCAGCUCCAGAAUCGGCUUUUCUCAACAAGUUACUGUACACACACGGGAGAGAAACGAGAUAGAGAGAGGUGCACUGCACUCAUGCCACAUAUUUCUUGAACAAUGAACUUCCAAUGGGCUGAAGUUACUUAAAUACAGUGGUUGAGCGCAGGGACCCCUCAUGUGUUAGUACAAAAUUGUCUAUCCCAUUAUGAGCUAAAAUAACACAAUUAAGGAUUAUACUUGUACAUCAUAUACUACUGUAUAGGGUAUGUCAAAAUCAGACCUAUUAACACAAUAUUUGAUCACUUAAUAAAUGAGUCUGUCAAAAUUGCUCCAUAAUAUUUGACAAUAGUCACGUAUUAAUUCGGUAAAAUAUAGAAAACAAUUAGAAUGAUUUAUGUCAGUCCACAUAAUAUGGGAAAUAAAUCUAACAAUAAGACUAUACUAUAAGUUUCGAGAUUCGAGAAUGUUUGCUUUACAAUUUGGUUGCUACUUGUGAAUGAUAUUCUAAUAAAAUUAUCUGAACAAAUUAUCAUUCACAUCAGUAGCAGCUUCAUUGCUAGUCUACUAAUGUUCUUUAUGGGGAAUCAAACCUUGAAUUAUCAUUCACAUCAGUAGCAGCUUCAUUGCAUGUCAGUGUCAUUGCUAGCCAAUUACAAUUCACAUAUGUUAUAUAUAUUUUCUCGUAUGUUCCUCAGCAUUGUCAGUAAGACCCACACCAGUAGGAAGUAGUGGUCUUCCUGUGCCUACAUCGACAACACAAUAAGUCAUGAAAUGCUGACCCAUUUUAGCUUAGCUCCUAAUGCAAUUCAGUUGCCUACUCAAAUCAAUCUUUUUCAAAAUUCAGUUGCCGGCUUCUCCUUCCACAUUCGAGCUCGCUCUUCAUCCUAACGUUGAUAACAGCUUAGCAUUUCAUCACUAGCCAUUUCUUUUGCAGUCAUGCCAACAAUGGUCUCCAGCUUGACCUGCCCAAGAAGGACAUUUCUUCGGAAAUCUGGGUUCUUAGGAUCCUUGAGGUUACCCAAGACAGCUCUAUACUUGAUCUUAUAUGGCCCAUCAGAUCGGCCCCAUUUCUCAAACAUUGCAGACUCCAAUGCUAUUGCAACUCGAACUGAGUCACAUGCAUUCACUUCAUCUUGAAUUUCUUCAUCAGCCUCACU
Molecule: long non-coding RNA, 12566 nt
Filed under: Citrus maxima (pomelo)
Lineage: Eukaryota; Viridiplantae; Streptophyta; Magnoliopsida; Sapindales; Rutaceae
Description: long non-coding RNA (CMAX_LNC002102)
Source: RNAcentral